Molecule: long non-coding RNA, 3916 nt
Organism: Malus domestica (apple)
Lineage: Eukaryota; Viridiplantae; Streptophyta; Magnoliopsida; Rosales; Rosaceae
Source: RefSeq, a predicted model, not a curated record
UUCUUUACUUCCUUAUAGUUGUGUGGAAAAGCAAAAUAACCUAAUAAUGCAGUUCAUUCGAAAAUGCAAACAUUCAAGAAAUUCAAGAAAAUCUGCCUCCUGCAUCCUUUCCUUCUAUUACUCAAUUUUUGGUUAACAACUUCAAUUCCUCAAAAUGCUUCAACAAUCUUUUGUCACAAACUGAAAACUCAAACGCGAUUUUCGAAACCAAAUUCAACCGCGUUUUCUCCGCUAAACCACAUUUUCCUGUGCAAAUCUCGAAAACUAUACCAUUGUAAUAGAGCCUCUAUUAAUCUGUUCCCAAUUUCCUAUACUAACUACCGAUGUAAAAGUUAGAUCAUCUCCAACCCUUCUUGUUCAUCUUCACUCCACUAUGUCCCUUCUAAACUUCCAUAGCCUAGUUUUAGUUCCCGACAGUCCAACUCACUUUUACUCUACGAUUGCUCAAACAAAAACCUUGAUCCUUCACCAUAUUUUCAUAAUGUCACCUGCCUGCAUGCAUGUGGAGCUUCUUCAUAGAUUCAAGAACCCGAACUUUACGGGCAUACAUGGUCCUCUUGCUUACUAGUUUAUGAUCUCACAAAGCUAGACUUGGGUUUUCAUCCAAGAGAUCUGAAUUGCUCAUGUUACAGCAGGGUGUAUGAAAAACCUUCACAUGGAAACAAGGAAGGAUAUGGGUUGAAGACGAGGAUGUCUUUCGACAUCCCUGACCACGUACCCAAUAUUUGCGACGAGCGUGAAAAGCCUAAUGGAAAUUGUGGUGCUGGGUUGAUGUGCAUAUGCCACCCAAAAAAGUGCAAAAACAAAAUCAUUUCAAAGGGUUCUUUCACCAGUUCUGGUAAUAUCCUCUUCUCUUUGCUGACUCUUGUAGUACAGAUGGUUUUGGAUCACUGAAGCAAGAAAGUUAAGUCCCUAAUGUAUUGGUUUUUAUGUCAUUUACUUCAUAGCUGUAAAAAAUAAAUCAAAAAGAAAAUUUUAAUAGUUGUUCCCAUUUCUCUUUCAUCUGUCUGUCGUGUAAAGAUUUGUAGGCUCCAUUCGGGUGGAGAAAUUUGAAUUAAAGGAUUUGGAUGUGAAACUUUUGCCACAUAAACAAGAAAUCAUUAAAUAGAUUGUAUUUGUAACAACUAGAUGUAAGAUGUAAUCUUCACUAGGCAAACCACCUAGUCGGAUUUUAGGGAUUUCCAGUAAGAAAUUGUCACGUUAUCUCAAGUGGGACUGGAUUAACAAAAAAAUCAGAAGGGAUUUGUGUGUUUGUAAUGAGUCAUUUGGACUUCAUUUACGUUUUUCAUGUCUUUCUUAUUCAAAUCUUGUGAUGCAUGGAUUGCUAUAUUUCAAACGAACAAUUUAACUUUAUAAUCUCUUCUAAGUUUCUAAAUUUGAAAUCCCUCAAUCCAAAUGAGCCCUUGUAUUGUUUUUUUUCUUGUGACCGCAUUGACAAGCACCAAGUUGUUAAGGAAAUACAUGAUAUAUUUGUACACUUAGAGGGGGCUUUUCAAUUCCCACUUCCACUAGCUACUGCUUUUCUAAAGGAACUAUAAGUUGAGGUACAACUACAUUCUUCAUGAUUUACUGUAAGGUACAAUCUGCUUUAACAUGAACCUAAUCAACCCACAAUUACUGCAGCAGUACUGCAACCAGCAUAACCCUAAUACUUGAAUUUGUUUUCUGGCCAACCCUUUGUUGUUAAGAGGAAAAUGACAGGCAAUGACAGAAAAGAAUAAUUAUAGGCUUAUUUUAUUAACAGUUUACAAACUGUUGAAUAAAUCCUACAUACUUAAUACAUUCCACAUUUGCUUUUGAGGUGCAUAUGUGCAAUAUGUGCCUAGUUUCAUAAAGUGUGAAGUGAGACAUAUAUUAAAUAGAUUUAUCAACUAUUUAAAAACUAGUAUAAUUAAUGUGGUGUUUCUAAUGAUUUAAUUUGCAGAAAACAAAGUCAUUUCAAGGGGUGAAUCUUUGACCAGUUCUGGUAAUAUCCUCUUCUCUUUGCUUACUCUUGGAGUACAGAUUGUUUUGGAUCACUGAAGCAAGAAAGUUAAGUCCCUAAUGUAUUGGUUUUUUUGUCAUUCACUUCAUAACUAUAAAAAAUAAAUCAAAAGCAAAUUUUGUGUUAUAAAUAGGCAAAAGUUAGAGAGGUAAUCUUUGCUAGGACAUGAGUGAAGCAGGUGUAAAAUAUCAAACUAUUUAGUUUGGUAACUAUAACAAAAAAGGAUUGCAGGUAAAAAGAGGAAGUGAGGGAUACUGAUAUUAUUGCUUUCAAUUUUUUUCUUUUGCAGUGUGUAUUGUAAUCACACACGGAGUGCUCUUAUAUAGAGUAACAUCUGUGACAAUGACAAACCAAACAAAUGAAAUGAUUGCCACUUUUGAAAACAUUACACAACAACAAAUAAAUCACUAUUUUCAAGUCUUCCUCAUUGUGGGCAUUCAUUCGCACAAUUUUAUAACACUCCAAAUUGGAUGCUCACAUAUCAACAUCAAUUGCCUCAUUAAAACUUGCUCGGAAAAACCCAAUGGGAAAAAACCAUAGCGUGUUGUAAAAUUGUGAUAAUGAAUGCCCACAGUGAGGAAGACUUGAAAAUAGUAAUGUACUUGUUGUUGUGUAAUGUUUUCAAAAGUGGCAAUCAUUUCAUUUAUUUGGUUUGUCACGGUUGUUGCUCUAUAUAAAGAGCACUCCGUCUGUGAUCACAAUACACUGCAAAAGAAAAUAACUGAAAACAAUAAUAUCAGUAUCCCUCACUUCCUCUUUUUACCAGCAAUCCUUCUUGUGUUAUAGUUACGAAACUAAACAAUGUGAUAUUUUGCAUUCACUUCGCUCUUGUCCCUAGCAAAGGUUGUCUCUCUAACUUUUGUCUAGUUAUAACACAUUAUCAGCACGACUUUCUAACCUUAACCAGUUAUCAUCUCCCUUCACCGAAAAAAUGCUUCCUCCAAGGAUUUCUUGUUUUUCUUCAUCCUUUGCCUCACCUGCUUGAUGUACCCUCGUGAAGAACUACUAGCUCCAUGUCUGCAUAUAGUUCUAAAUAUAACAAUUACUUAUAUCUUUGAUUUCUUGUUUGGUGUAGCUCCUGAUUACUAACCAAGUGAUUAUUUAUGUUAAUUUUACUACGAUCGAAGAUGGUGUGGUACCAUCGCCCAUCUUGAACUGCAGAUUUAAUUUUACUGCAAUUUUAGGUGGUGCGGUAUAAUCGUCCACCCUGCUUUACCUAUUUAAAUUUUCUUGCUGCUUGAGUGGUGUGGUAUAAUCGCCUAUACUAUGCUAUAUUAUUUGAAUGAGAGUGGUGCAGUACAAUCGCCCUUCUCAUUAAUCAUGUAAAUCUCAAGUUUGAAAUUUUGAGUGCUUAUCAUUUUGGCCUGAAAAUCAAAAUGAAAAAUUUGUAAGAACUAGAAGUUCUAACACUAAAUUCCUCCAUAAUACAUAUUAUUGCAAGUUCUUAUAUAUCUCAUUUUUCUUUCAGAAAAAUAAAAUGGUGAACAUGGCAAAACUUGAUUUUGUUGCCCUGGAUAUUACUCGGAAGAACUAUGCCCUGGAUAUUACUGGGAAGAACUAUCUUACCUGGGUAGUGGCUACCAAGAUCCAUCUGGAGGCAGGGAAUCUUUGAGAAACCAUCAAGGAGGAAAACAGUGCAUCCUCUCACGUUCGGGCGAAUGCCAUGAUCUUUAUCCAUCGCCACUUGAAGGACUGAAGAGCGAGUACCUAACAAUUGAAUAUCCAUUAGCCCUCUAGAAGGCAUUGAGAAAUAGAUACAAUUACUAGAAAAUGGUGAAUUUUCUAAGGGAUUGUUAUGAGUGGACACACCUAAGGAUCCAGAUUUCAAGUCUGUUGCAGAGUACAACUCUGCAAUGUUCAGAAUUAGCUUCCAAAUGAAGCUUUCUGGGGAAACCAUCACUAAGGAAGAUAUGUUGGAAAAUACUUUUAGCA